GACGAACGCUGGCGGCGUGCUUAACACAUGCAAGUCGAACGAUGAAACCUAGCUUGCUGGGUCGAUUAGUGGCGAACGGGUGAGUAACACGUGACUAACCUGCCCCUUUCUCUGGGAUAACGCUCCGAAAGGAGUGCUAAUACCGGAUACUCACACCGAGGCACAUGCCUUGGUGUGGAAAGUUUUUCGGAAAGGGAUGGAGUCGCGGCCUAUCAGCUUGUUGGUGAGGUAACGGCUCACCAAGGCGACGACGGGUAGCCGGCCUGAGAGGGCGACCGGCCACUGGACUGAGACACGGCCCAUACUCCUACGGGAGGCAGCAGUGGGGAAUAUUGCACAAUGGGCGCAAGCCUGAUGCAGCGACGCCGCGUGAGGGAUGAAGGUCUUCGGAUUGUAAACCUCUUUCAGUAGGGACGAAGCGAAAGUGACGGUACCUAAAGAAGAAGCACCGGCUAACUACGUGCCAGCCGCCGCGGUAA
Molecule: ribosomal RNA, 479 nt
Filed under: uncultured bacterium
Lineage: Bacteria
Description: partial 16S ribosomal RNA
Rfam family: Bacterial small subunit ribosomal RNA
Source: RNAcentral